AUACGAAGGUCCCGAGCGUUAUUCGGAAUCACUGGGCGUAAAGGGAGCGUAGGCUGUAGGGUAAGUCAGAUGUGAAAUCUCAGAGCUCAACUCUGAAACUGCAUCCGAUACUGCCGUACUAGAGUAAUGGAGGGGUAACUGGAAUUCUCGGUGUAGCAGUGAAAUGCGUAGAUAUCGAGAGGAAGACCAACGGCGAAGGCAGGUUACUGGACAUUUACUGACGCUGAGGCUCGAAGGCUAGGGUAGCGAAAGGGAUUAGAAACCCCUGUAGUCC
RNAcentral lists this ribosomal RNA (274 nucleotides) under uncultured bacterium. RNAcentral's name for it is "partial 16S ribosomal RNA". It matches the Rfam family "Bacterial small subunit ribosomal RNA", at positions 523 to 796 of the family's 1533-position model. The record is from RNAcentral.